This 961-nucleotide non-coding RNA is filed under the name Dendrogale murina (Northern smooth-tailed tree shrew). Its description in RNAcentral is "12S ribosomal RNA". It matches the Rfam family "Bacterial small subunit ribosomal RNA". The record is from RNAcentral. Lineage: Eukaryota; Metazoa; Chordata; Mammalia; Scandentia; Tupaiidae.
CACAGGUUUGGUCCUGGCCUUUCUAUUAGCUGUUAGCAGAUUUACACAUGCAAGAAUCCUCGUACCAGUGAGAAUGCCCUUCAAGUCUACAAGACUAAAAGGAGCUGACAUCAAGCACACUACUUCAAUAGUAGCUCAUAACGUCUUGCUUAACCACGCCCCCACGGGAUACAGCAGUGACAAAAAUUAAGCCAUGAACGAAAGUUUGACUAAGUUAUGCUAAUUAGGGUUGGUAAAUUUCGUGCCAGCCACCGCGGUCAUACGAUUAACCCAAGCUAAUGGAUCGACGGCGUAAAAUGUGUUUAAGAAAGACUGUAAAAUAAGGUCAAAUAAGACUAAAGCAGUAAAAUGCUAACGACCCAUUAAGAUCAACAACGAAAGUGACCUUAUCAAAUCUGACUACACUACAAUUAAGACCCAAACUGGGAUUAGAUACCCCACUAUGCUUAAUCAUAAACAUAGAUAGUUUAUACAACAAAGCUACCCGCCAGAGAACUACGUGCCACAGCCCAAAACUCAAAGGACUUGGCGGUGCUUUACACCCACCUAGAGGAGCCUGUUCUAUAAUCGAUAAACCCCGAUACACCUCACCACCUCUUGCUAAUUCAGCCUAUAUACCGCCAUCUUCAGCAAACCCUGAAAAGGAAAAAAAGUAAGCCCAAACACAUGCAUAAAAAAGUUAGGUCAAGGUGUAGCCUAUGGGGUGGGAAGUAAUGGGCUACAUUUUCUUACAUAGAACAACAACGCUAACCUUCAUGAAACCUGAAGGCCCAAGGAGGAUUUAGUAGUAAACUGAGAAUAGAGAGCUCAAUUGAAUUAGGCCAUAAAGCACGCACACACCGCCCGUCACCCUCCUCAAAUAUGUUCAUAAUUUACAAUCAAACAUAUGUCAAAAUUUACAAGUAUGAGAGGAGACAAGUCGUAACAAGGUAAGCGUACUGGAAGGUGCGCUUGGAAAAAC